UAAGGGUUCGCAUAACAGCGAUUAAAAGGGAAUGGGGUGAAAAUCUCCAACUGUCCCGCAGCAGUAAGUUCCUUUAUGCACCUCAAGCAAGAGAAUCCACUGUUUCCGAAAACAAUGAAAUGGGAAGGAGCAUGAGGUUGGAACAAAGUCUGAAGACCUGCCCAAAAUGAA
RNAcentral lists this non-coding RNA (171 nucleotides) under uncultured Prevotella sp. The record is from RNAcentral. Lineage: Bacteria; Pseudomonadati; Bacteroidota; Bacteroidia; Bacteroidales; Prevotellaceae.